This 253-nucleotide ribosomal RNA is filed under the name uncultured bacterium. RNAcentral's name for it is "partial 16S ribosomal RNA". It matches the Rfam family "Archaeal small subunit ribosomal RNA", at positions 474 to 727 of the family's 1478-position model. The record is from RNAcentral.
UACCAGCACCCCGAGUGGUCGGGACGAUUAUUGGGCCUAAAGCAUCCGUAGCCGGUCAUGCAAGUCCUCCGUUAAAUCCACCUGCUUAACAGAUGGGCUGCGGAGGAUACUACAAGGCUAGGAGGCGGAAGAGGCAAGCGGUAUUCAGUGGGUAGGGGUAAAAUCCUCUGAUCCAUUGAAGACCACCAGUGGCGAAGGCGGCUUGCCAAUACGCGCUCGACGGUGAGGGGUGAAAGCUGGGGGAGCAAACCGG